RNAcentral lists this ribosomal RNA (301 nucleotides) under uncultured bacterium. RNAcentral describes it as "partial 16S ribosomal RNA". It matches the Rfam family "Bacterial small subunit ribosomal RNA", at positions 509 to 807 of the family's 1533-position model. The record is from RNAcentral.
CAGCAGCCGCGGUAAUACGUAGGUGGCAAGCGUUGUCCGGAAUUAUUGGGCGUAAAGGGCUCGCAGGCGGCUUCUUAAGUCUGAUGUGAAAGCCCCCGGCUCAACCGGGGAGGGUCAUUGGAAACUGGGAAACUUGAGUGCGGAAGAGGAGAGUGGAAUUCCACGUGUAGCGGUGAAAUGCGUAGAGAUGUGGAGGAACACCAGUGGCGAAGGCGACUCUCUGGUCUGUAACUGACGCUGAGGAGCGAAAGCGUGGGGAGCGAACAGGAUUAGAUACCCCAGUAGUCCCUGUCUCUUAUAC